UUGAGCAGAGACUGCUGCUAUAGCAGGAAGGACACAGCAGCCUUCACCAACGCUCUGUCACUCACUUCCCCCGCUCCAGCCGCGCCACAACCACUACACAGGGAGACGCCGGAAGGGGGAGGUACACAGGACGCACACCAGGAGGAACCACUACGUCUUUCACAUGCCACAAGCAAUAUGACUUUCGGAAUACACUGUUUUUUUUUUUUUUUUUGUACCUUUCAGUCAGUCUCUUAACACCCCUCCUUUUCUCCUCCUGCUCUAUCCAUCUACUCCCCUCCUCUGCUUUUCUACUCCUCCGCUUGUGUUUGAAGGGGGAUUCAUGCCAAGAGAGAGCCUGGCUUGAAUGAGAAUCAGCUGCUGGAGCUCUCCAGGUUAGACAGAAAGAAGGAAGUACCAGUAGAGGACUCAAGGAGCAUUCUCUGCACCUCUCUGCACCCCCAGGAUCUCCAUCUCUAUCUCCUUGGGACGCCUCCUGUCCUCCUCACUCCCCAGGGGUCCUGCGUUGCCCAUCGCUGUGAGCCUCAGCCAGGGUAAACAAUCUAGUGGAUGUAUUGAUAUUGUGUUACUGAGAGGAAAAAGAGUUGAGUUCAAGUCUAGGCCUCGAGCUGUUUUGAUUCUUCCGCUUCCUUGCACACAGCUGACUUCCAAGAGUUAAAAGGAGUAAACUCAUUGGAUUUUGAGUUUUAUUUUCAUUUUACUUUGCUGCUGCCCUCGUCGCACUGAAAAUUAACCAAAUCAACUAAACACUUGAGACCGGUACAAUUCCAUGACUCUGCAUGCUAACUGGACAUCUUGCACUGAUGAAAUACUGUGACUAGUGAUGUCCGGCCACCAGACAACCUGUCCACUUGACCCCAUCUCCUCCUCCCUUCUCCUGACAAUAUCUGGAGACCAUCUACCAUUCCUCAUGUCCCACAUCAACUCAUUCCUGACCAUUGGCUGCGUACCUUCAGAUGGCCAGUUGCUCCCCUCCUCAAGAAAACAACACUCAACCCCUCUGAUGUCAAAAACUACAGAUCAGUAUCCCUUCUUUCUUUUCCUUCCAAAACACUUGAGCGUGCUGUCUAUGGCCACAUCUCUCGCUAUCUCUCUGAGAAUGAUCUUCUUGACCUUAACCAGUCAGGCUUCAAGGCAGCUCACUCAACUGAGACAACUCUCCUCUGUCAGGGAGGCUCUUCGCUCUGUCAAAGAUGACUCUCUCUCAUCUGUUCUCAUCCUCAUAGAUCUAUCUGCUGCCUUCAACACCAUGAACAGUCAGAUUGUCCUCUUCAUCCUCUCAGGGCGGGACAUCUCAGGCUCUGCACACUGCUGUAUUGCAUUCUACCUGGAAGUUUGCUUCAAACAGAGGAUCUUUGUCUGCACUCAGCUCUGUCAUAUCGAAAGUUUGGGACUAUAAGGUUCUAUAGGCAUUUUUGUCAAAAUGUUGCUAUUGACAUAGCCUUGUUCAGUUCAAUGUCCUCUACCUAUAUAGUACUCUAAAUACCCUAAUUCAUGUUGUUAAGUUCAGAAUAAUACAAUAUAAAAAUUGCUGACACCAUUCAAACAAAUGAGGGUUUCGAAAAUGAACGCCAACCUUCUCAGAAUCAUAUUUUUGCGGAUAGAACCUUUAUAAUCCCAAGCUCUUGAUAUCCUCACAUGGUCUCUCCUAUCAUUGCUACUGUAUGUGGAUGGUGCUCAACUUCUUUUCUCCUUCUCCACUUCUGAUACCCAGGUGGUGACACAUCUCUGCAUACUUGGCAGACAUCUCAGCUUGGAUGUUGGCCCACCACCUCAGGCUCAAUCUCAACACGAUGAAGCUGCUCUUCCUCCUGGGGAAGGCCUGCCCGCUCCAAGACAUCUCCAUCACAGUUGAUAACUCCAGGGUGUCUCCCUCCCAGAGUGCAAAGAACCUUGGCGUGACCCUGGACAACACCCUGUCAUUCUCUGCAAACAUCAAGCAGUGAUUCACUCCUGCAGGUUCACGCUCUACAACAGCCGUAGAGUAUAAUCUUUCCUCACACAGGAAGCAGAGCAGGUACUGAUCUAGGCACUUGUCAUUUCCCGUCUACACUACUGCAACUCUCUGUUGACUGGGCUCCCCACUUGUGCCUUCAAACCUCUGGUGCCUGGUGUUCAACCUUCCCAAGUUCUCCCAUGCCACCACGCUCUUCUGCACACUCCACUGGCUUCCAGUCGAAGCUCACAUAAUCUUCAAGACCUUGGUGCUUGCCUAUGCAGCAGCAAUGGGAACUGUGGUCAAACCCUACACCCCAACUGAAACACUCUGUUCUGCCACCUCUGGUCUCUUGGCCCUGCCACCCUAUUGGAAGGGCAGUUCCCGCUCAUCCUUGUCAAAGCUAUUCUCUGUCCUAGCAUGCCGAUGAUGGAACAAUUUUCACCGUAAUGUCAGGACAGCGAAGUCCCUGCCCAUCUCCCGAUAACUUCUGAAACUUUAAAGAGUAUCUCAAAUAGUGGUGGGAAAAGUACCCAAUUGCCUGACAAGUAAAAGUUAAGAUGGCGUCAUAGAAAAUGACUCACGUAAAGGUGAAAGUCGCCCAAUAAAAUGCUAAUUGUGUAAAAGUCUAAAAGUAUUUGGUUUUAAAUACACUUACUGUAUGAAUCAAAAGUAAAUGUAAUUAAAAAAUAUAUUUAAGUAUCAAAAGUAAAAGCAUAACAUUUUCAGAUUGCUAAUAUUAAGCAAACCAAAUGGCACAAAUUCUUUUUUUUUCAAUUUACAGAUAGCCAGGGGCACAGUAAAAAAUGCAGACAUAAUUUACAAACAAAGCAUUUGCAUUUAGUGAGUCUGCCAGAUCAGAGGCAGUAGGGAUGACCAGGGAUGUUCUCUUGAUAAGUGUGUGAAUUCGACCAUGUUCUUGUCCUGCUAUUAAUGAGUACUUUUGGGUGUCAGCGAAAAUGUGUAGAGUAAAAAGUACAAUAUUUUUACUAGGAAUGUAGUAAAGUAGAAGUUGAAGUUGUUAAAAAUAUGAAUAGUAAUGUACAGAUACACAAAAAGUGAGUUCCAGAGCCUGUAAAGCUUCAUGCACUCUGGAUAAAUGUUAAAUGGCGACCGGUAAUGGGCUUCGGAUAACCAAAAUGUGUAAACAGUAUCCUGCAUUAUAUUAAAUUCAUCUAUGCAUUUUGAA
Long non-coding RNA from Oncorhynchus mykiss (rainbow trout), 3125 nucleotides. RefSeq lists it as uncharacterized. Lineage: Eukaryota; Metazoa; Chordata; Actinopteri; Salmoniformes; Salmonidae. The record is from RefSeq and is a predicted model, not a curated record.